RNAcentral lists this ribosomal RNA (464 nucleotides) under uncultured bacterium. Its description in RNAcentral is "bacterial SSU rRNA". It matches the Rfam family "Bacterial small subunit ribosomal RNA", at positions 330 to 793 of the family's 1533-position model. The record is from RNAcentral.
GCCAGACUCCUACGGGAGGCAGCAGUGGGGAAUAUUGCACAAUGGGGGAAACCCUGAUGCAGCGACGCCGCGUGAGUGAAGAAGUAUUUCGGUAUGUAAAGCUCUAUCAGCAGGGAAGAAAUAGCGACCUUUGGGUCGCCAGACGGUACCUGACUAAGAAGCCCCGGCUAACUACGUGCCAGCAGCCGCGGUAAUACGUAGGGGGCAAGCGUUAUCCGGAUUUACUGGGUGUAAAGGGAGCGUAGACGGCAAUACAAGUCGGAAGUGAAAUGCCCGGGCUUAACCUGGGAACUGCUUUGGAAACUGUAUGGCUGGAGUGCUGGAGAGGUAAGCGGAAUUCCUAGUGUAGCGGUGAAAUGCGUAGAUAUUAGGCGGAACACCAGUGGCGAAGGCGGCUUACUGGACAGUAACUGACGUUGAGGCUCGAAAGCGUGGGGAGCAAACAGGAUUAGAUACCCCCGUAA